Pelobates cultripes (western spadefoot toad) is the source of this 233-nucleotide non-coding RNA. The record is from the annotation of a GenBank genome assembly. NCBI's taxonomy places the organism in Eukaryota, Metazoa, Chordata, Amphibia, Anura, Pelobatidae.
AGAGAAACUGCUGCUAUGUUUACAUAUGGGUUAAUCCAGCCUCUAGUGGCUGUCUCUUUGACAGCCGCUAGAGGCACUUCCGCACUUUUCACUGUGAAAAUCAGUGAGAAGACGCUGACCUCCAUAGGAAAGCAUUAAGCAAUGCUUUCCUAUGGACUGAUUGAAUGUGCGCGCGGUUCUUGCCGCGCAUUCAGCAUUGACGACGGAAGAGGGAGGAGAGCCCGGCCCUGGAG